GACGAACGCUGGCGGCGUGCCUAAUACAUGCAAGUUGAGCGCUGAAGGUUGGUACUUGUACCAACUGGAUGAGCAGCGAACGGGUGAGUAACGCGUGGGGAAUCUGCCUUUGAGCGGGGGACAACAUUUGGAAACGAAUGCUAAUACCGCAUAAAAACUUUAAACACAAGUUUAAAGUUUGAAAGAUGCAAUUGCAUCACUCAAAGAUGAUCCCGCGUUGUAUUAGCUAGUUGGUGAGGUAAAGGCUCACCAAGGCGAUGAUACAUAGCCGACCUGAGAGGGUGAUCGGCCACAUUGGGACGGAGACACGGCCCAAACUCCUACGGGAGGCAGCAGUAGGGAAUCUUCGGCAAUGGACGAAAGUCUGACCGAGCAACGCCGCGUGAGUGAAGAAGGUUUUCGGAUCGUAAAACUCGGUUGGUAGAGAAGAACGUUGGUGAGAGUGGAAAGCUCAUCAAGUGACGGUAACUACCCAGAAAGGGACGGCUAACUACGUG
RNAcentral lists this ribosomal RNA (497 nucleotides) under uncultured bacterium. RNAcentral's name for it is "partial 16S ribosomal RNA". It matches the Rfam family "Bacterial small subunit ribosomal RNA", at positions 28 to 507 of the family's 1533-position model. The record is from RNAcentral.